CACGUAGGGCGCAAGCGUUGUCCGGAAUUAUUGGGCGUACAGAGCUCGUAGGCGGUCUGUUGCGUCCGCUGUGAAAACCCGGGGCUUAACCCUGGGCUGGCAGUGGAUAGGGACAGACUAGAGGUAGGUAGGGGAGAAUGGAAUUCCCGGUGUAGCGGUGAAAUGCGCAGAUAUCGGGAGGAACACCGGUGGCGAAGGCGGUUCUCUGGGCCUUACCUGACGCUGAGGAGCGAAAGCGUGGGGAGCGAACAGG
This 253-nucleotide ribosomal RNA is filed under the name uncultured bacterium. Its description in RNAcentral is "partial 16S ribosomal RNA". It matches the Rfam family "Bacterial small subunit ribosomal RNA", at positions 524 to 776 of the family's 1533-position model. The record is from RNAcentral.